GGAUUAGAUACCCUGGUAGUCCACGCCAUAAACGUUGGGCACUUGGUGUUCCGAGCCUUGAGCUUGGAGUGCCGGAGCUAACGCAUUAAGUGCCCCGCCUGGGGAGUACGACCGCAAGGUUGAAACUCAAAGGAAUUGACGGGGGCCCGCACAAGCGGUGGAGCAUGUGGUUUAAUUCGAUGCAACGCGAAGAACCUUACCUAGGUUUGAACUUGUAGGGACGCGUCCUAGAAAUAGGACUUUCACUUCGGUGACCCUAUGAGAGGUGCUGCAUGGCUGUCGUCAGCUCGUGCUG
RNAcentral lists this ribosomal RNA (295 nucleotides) under uncultured bacterium. RNAcentral describes it as "partial 16S ribosomal RNA". It matches the Rfam family "Bacterial small subunit ribosomal RNA", at positions 775 to 1067 of the family's 1533-position model. The record is from RNAcentral.